CCUACGGGUGGCAGCAGUGGGGAAUAUUGCACAAUGGGGGGAACCCUGAUGCAGCGACGCCGCGUGGGUGAAGGAGUGCUUCGGCAUGUAAAGCCCUAUCGGCAGGGAAGAAGCAAGACGGUACCUGACUAAGAAGCCCCGGCUAACUACGUGCCAGCAGCCGCGGUAAUACGGAGGGGGCGAGCGUUAUCCGGAUUCACUGGGUGUAAAGGGAGCGUAGACGGCCAUGCAAGCCAGGGGUGAAAGCCCGGGGCCCAACCCCGGGACUGCCCUUGGAACUGGGCGGCUAGAGUGCGGGAGGGGCAGGCGGAAUUCCUGGUGUAGCGGUGAAAUGCGUAGAUAUCAGGAGGAACACCGGCGGCGAAGGCGGCCUGCUGGACUGCGACUGACGUUGAGGCUCGAAAGCGUGGGGAGCGAACAGGAUUAGAUACCCGAGUAGUC
Molecule: ribosomal RNA, 441 nt
Filed under: uncultured bacterium
Lineage: Bacteria
Description: partial 16S ribosomal RNA
Rfam family: Bacterial small subunit ribosomal RNA
Source: RNAcentral